UGUUACUCCACCUCACGCGCCCUCGCCGAGAAGGUCACGCCGACUUCCUCCCAGGCGAGCUCGCCGGGCCGUAGCAGUAGGACGGCCGCCAGGUCGAGGUGCGGGUUCGUGUGGAGCGUUGGGACCACGACAGCGCCGUUGCGGGAGACGACGCCGCCGCUCGCGCUCCGCGACUCGGAGGAUACGUGACGAGGCGGCGGAGGCAGGGAGGUGGCGUCUCCGUUGAGCGGGUUGAUGAGCUCGGCCUCUUGGAAGCCGUCGGAGCCGCUGACGGCAAGGAGGCGGCCGCCGGAGGCGUCGGAUCUCUCCACCAUCUUGCCGCGGAGCGACGGGAGGGGCAGGAGGAACCGGAUUUUCCUCGCCGACAAGGGCGAGUGGAGGCCCAGGCCGGGGCAGUCGAACGCGCCGGACGGCUCCACCUCCACGAGGCACGGGAGGAAGCUGCUAGGCGCGCGGGGCGGCGGCGGAGCCCGGCGCCACGGCCUGCACACGGCGAAGAAGCGGACCAGGUCGCUGGCGUCGCGCAGGUGGCCAGCGAUCUCGCUGAGCGUGUCGGCGGGGAGCUCGGCCCACGGGCACCGAGGCGCCGCCCGCGGCGAGAUCCAUCUCUGUUCGCAGUUUGGCAUCGGAUGGGUUGGAGACGAUGAAGACGCUACGGAUGGAGCUCUUGAAAAUUGAAAUCGCGCCGAAUUCUGAUCGAUCCCGUCCGGACUCCGGAGGCGCACCGGCCGCCUCGAUCGAUUCAAGAAAUGAAGAACACGAGCAGCGGCGUUUCCCAUCAAGACGAACAAGAGCUCGUUACCGAAUAGAACCUGGAGACCCCAAUCCCUCCCGUCGGGCCGCCUCACAAAAGACGUCGACGCUGAUCGGGCCUCCCCUCCUGUUCGACCGCGACACCGCCCCCCGUCCUGCCCGCGCUCCCCGUGAGAGCGCCCUUGCGCCGCCGCGAAGCCGGUCGUUCUCUCGCGCCGCGGCGUCGUCUAUGACGUUGGGGGCGGGCUCCGAUGAUGCUCCCUUGGAUCUCGGAAGCAACGGCGCCACUGGGGAGAAGGCGAGUUCAGAUGAUCCCGUAGAUCUCGAGAAAGGCGCCACCGGGUCGAAGGCGGCGGCGGCCGAGGAGGAGGAGCUGGACCGGCGUGCGAUGUGGGCCUGAAGAUGUGUUUCAAGGUUUCGGUGGAUGUGUUCGUCGUGCUGUACGUCCAUAAUCAUUUUCGUGAUCGCGUUGCUGGUCAAGCUUUAUGACAACUGGUGGGAUCUAUGGCCGGUUUAUGUUAUCCUGACGAUAAAUUUGGUAUGUGCUAUCUGGAUGGCGCCCAAGAUGAAGUAUGACACCAAGCCUGCACGAGGAAGCGGCGGCGGCGAUCUGAAAACAACACUAUUACCAUCUAAGUAAGCCUAAGUGAAGUGAAUAAGGGGGGCACCAUUUAGUUAA
Panicum virgatum (switchgrass) is the source of this 1432-nucleotide long non-coding RNA. RefSeq lists it as uncharacterized. The transcript has 2 exons. Lineage: Eukaryota; Viridiplantae; Streptophyta; Magnoliopsida; Poales; Poaceae. The record is from RefSeq and is a predicted model, not a curated record.